GACGAACGCUGGCGGCGUGCUUAACACAUGCAAGUCGAACGAAGAGCGCUGGAAGCUUGCUUCUAUCAAUCUUAGUGGCGAACGGGUGAGUAACGCGUAAUCAACCUGCCCUUCAGAGGGGGACAACAGUUGGAAAGGACUGUUACUACCGCAAACGCCUUAAUCCUGGCAUGGAGGAGAGAUGAAAGGUGGCCUCGCCAUGUAACCAAUCACUGAAGGAGGGGUUUGGGUCGGGUUCGUACGCUGGGGGGGAAAGGGCCCACCAAGGUGGGGAUCAGUAGCCGGUCUGAUAGGAGGAACGGCCACCUUGGGACUGUGACACGGCACAGACUCCUACGGGAAGGAGCAGUGGGGAAUCUUCCGCAAUGGACGAAAGACUGACGGAGCAACGCCGCGUGAGUGAUGACGGCCUUCGGGUUGUAAAGCUCUGUUAAUCGGGACGAAAGGCCUUCUUGCGAAUAGUGAGAAGGAUUGACGGUACCGGAAGAGAAAGCCACGGCUAACUACGUG
This 510-nucleotide ribosomal RNA is filed under the name uncultured bacterium. RNAcentral describes it as "partial 16S ribosomal RNA". It matches the Rfam family "Bacterial small subunit ribosomal RNA", at positions 28 to 507 of the family's 1533-position model. The record is from RNAcentral.